RNAcentral lists this ribosomal RNA (332 nucleotides) under Onocolus cf. pentagonus MR449. RNAcentral's name for it is "partial 16S ribosomal RNA". The record is from RNAcentral. Lineage: Eukaryota; Metazoa; Arthropoda; Arachnida; Araneae; Thomisidae.
AAAAGGUAUAACAUUUCAAUUUAUUUCUAAUCUUUAAAUCUUUAAAACUAUUUUAAAUGUAAAAAAACAUUUAUUCCCCAAAAAGACGAUAAGACCCUAUUGAACUUUACUUUAGUUUAACUGGGGCAGUUAAUUAAAUAUUAUUUUAAAAAAAAAAAUUAAAUAAAUGACCUAAUCAAAUUAAAUUUAUGAUCAAGUUACCAUAGGGAUAACAGCGUAAUACUAUUUUUAAGCUCUUAUUUUAAAUUAAGUUUGCGACCUCGAUGUUGACUAACAUUCUAAUUCACGCAAUAGUGAAUAAAGAAAGUCUGUUCGACUUUUAAAAAGUUACA